Petromyzon marinus (sea lamprey) is the source of this 366-nucleotide long non-coding RNA. RefSeq lists it as uncharacterized. Lineage: Eukaryota; Metazoa; Chordata; Hyperoartia; Petromyzontiformes; Petromyzontidae. The record is from RefSeq and is a predicted model, not a curated record.
GGGGUUCAGUGCGGUCGGCCCAAGAGCCCCCCUCGUGUGGGAUCGUGGCGAGGUGCGUGCGUGCGAUGCGGUGCGGUUGCGUCAUCGUUCACGCAAGACGCGUCUCACGAUCGCUGAGGAUCCACGGGCAUGCUCGACGGAAGUCGCCGGGCGCUGAGACGGCACCACCAACAACUACCCAAGUUCUGUGGUGCCACACGUACGAAAAUGUUUUCAGCGAAUCGAUGUGCAUUUACACACAGUCCUGUUGUCCCUGCUGCGCCUGUAGAAGAGGCGCCCUACCUUUCGCCCCCCUCAAGAUGAAACCGAAGCCCUCGCUCUCCUUCUUCUGUAGCACCACGCUCUUCUCUUCCACCAGGUAGUCAC